This 1372-nucleotide ribosomal RNA is filed under the name uncultured bacterium. Its description in RNAcentral is "bacterial SSU rRNA". It matches the Rfam family "Bacterial small subunit ribosomal RNA", at positions 28 to 1381 of the family's 1533-position model. The record is from RNAcentral.
GAUGAACGCUGGCGGCGUGCCUAAUACAUGCAAGUCGAGCGAACGGACGAGAAGCUUGCUUCUCUGAUGUUAGCGGCGGACGGGUGAGUAACACGUGGAUAACCUACCUAUAAGACUGGGAUAACUUCGGGAAACCGGAGCUAAUACCGGAUAAUAUUUUGAACCGCAUGGUUCAAAAGUGAAAGACGGUCUUGCUGUCACUUAUAGAUGGAUCCGCGCUGCAUUAGCUAGUUGGUAAGGUAACGGCUUACCAAGGCAACGAUGCAUAGUCGACCUGAGAGGGUGAUCGGCCACACUGGAACUGAGACACGGUCCAGACUCCUACGGGAGGCAGCAGUAGGAAAUCUUCCGCAAUGGGCGAAAGCCUGACGGAGCAACGCCGCGUGAGUGAUGAAGGUCUUCGGAUCGUAAAACUCUGUUAUUAGGGAAGAACAUAUGUGUAAGUAACUGUGCACAUCUUGACGGUACCUAAUCAGAAAGCCACGGCUAACUACGUGCCAGCAGCCGCGGUAAUACGUAGGUGGCAAGCGUUAUCCGGAAUUAUUGGGCGUAAAGCGCGCGUAGGCGGUUUUUUAAGUCUGAUGUGAAAGCCCACGGCUCAACCGUGGAGGGUCAUUGGAAACUGGAAAACUUGAGUGCAGAAGAGGAAAGUGGAAUUCCAUGUGUAGCGGUGAAAUGCGCAGAGAUAUGGAGGAACACCAGUGGCGAAGGCGACUUUCUGGUCUGUAACUGACGCUGAUGUGCGAAAGCGUGGGGAUCAAACAGGAUUAGAUACCCUGGUAGUCCACGCCGUAAACGAUGAGUGCUAAGUGUUAGGGGGUUUCCGCCCCUUAGUGCUGCAGCUAACGCAUUAAGCACUCCGCCUGGGGAGUACGACCGCAAGGUUGAAACUCAAAGGAAUUGACGGGGACCCGCACAAGCGGUGGAGCAUGUGGUUUAAUUCGAAGCAACGCGAAGAACCUUACCAAAUCUUGACAUCCUUUGACAACUCCAGAGAUAGAGCUUUCCCCUUCGGGGGACAAAGUGACAGGUGGUGCAUGGUUGUCGUCAGCUCGUGUCGUGAGAUGUUGGGUUAAGUCCCGCAACGAGCGCAACCCUUAAGCUUAGUUGCCAUCAUUAAGUUGGGCACUCUAAGUUGACUGCCGGUGACAAACCGGAGGAAGGUGGGGAUGACGUCAAAUCAUCAUGCCCCUUAUGAUUUGGGCUACACACGUGCUACAAUGGACAAUACAAAGGGCAGCGAAACCGCGAGGUCAAGCAAAUCCCAUAAAGUUGUUCUCAGUUCGGAUUGUAGUCUGCAACUCGACUACAUGAAGCUGGAAUCGCUAGUAAUCGUAGAUCAGCAUGCUACGGUGAAUACGUUCCCGGGUCU